Molecule: ribosomal RNA, 96 nt
Filed under: uncultured bacterium
Lineage: Bacteria
Description: partial 16S ribosomal RNA
Source: RNAcentral
CCCGUACACAUCACUGAAAGCCGGUUGUACCCGAAGUCAUCUUUAGCUAACCGACAAGGGAGCAGAUGCCGAAGGUAUGGCUGGUGGAUUGGGAUG